Bombus huntii is the source of this 2015-nucleotide RNA transcript. RefSeq lists it as uncharacterized. Lineage: Eukaryota; Metazoa; Arthropoda; Insecta; Hymenoptera; Apidae. The transcript has 3 exons. The record is from RefSeq and is a predicted model, not a curated record.
AAAAUCUAUAAAACUGGUGGCUGGGAAAUAGAAAAUAUAUAAAUUUAUGUUAUUAGAGUUUAGUACUUCUGUCGAUCAAUGUGUUACGACCGUUCGCGGAGAGACGCAGUCGCAGUAGCGAGAGGCGUAAAUUCUCGCUACGAUUCGGUGAAUCGACGCCGCGAAGUAGUCGUUCCCCUGUUUCGGUUAAGAUAAGAGGUGGUUAAAUGAAUAUGACACAGUAUAGUAAGUUAUAUUUCACCGUUUAUUCCAACAACUUAUAACGAAGGCAGUUACGCUGGUCCAUAUUUUUGGGGAUACAAUUAAAAAAGUAAAUCGUCGGUGGAAUAUUGUUUCACCUAUCAAGAAUUUUGGAAGAUAUAAUUAGAAAGGUACAACCUGGGUAGAAAAUUGUACUCCUUAUCGAGCAUUUUUGAAAAUAUAAUUGAGAAAGUGGAAUCUGGAUAGAAAAUUGUUUUACCUACGAAGCAUUAUAAAAAUUGACAGAGCAAGGAAAAUGAGCGACGAACCUACCUACAAACUAAUCUACUUCAAUGCCCGUGGUAGUGCCGAACAUAUACGGUACAUAUUUGCAUAUAUUGGCAUCGAGUAUACCGACGAGAGGAUCCCCCUACAACUCUGGCCUGAAUACAAGGAUUGUAAGCGUGAAGAAUCGAUUUUUACUUUCAUCGUUCAACUCUCAGAUAUCUACCAUUUACUCAAACUUUUCUGUAUAUAAAACUUUCGUUUCACGUGCAGGCUAAACUUACUUAAAGUAAAAUUUCAUACGGAAUAAAGUCGAACUUUUCAUUAAGUUUUGCUUCCGUAAUAUCGUGUUUAUCGAAUACCAACUUAAUUCACUUACGAUUCUCGAAUUUUUGUGUUGCUAUCUUUAUUGUUUUCAAUGAAUCGAAGCAUUUCGAAUAUUUUGAGAAAACCGUAAAUAGGUGACUUAAAAUAGGAAUACAAAAAUACUUCUACGUUUCUCGUUAAAUUAAAAACUUUUUAGGACUUGUCGGAAAAAAAGGAUAAAAAAUUGAAAUCAGUUCGGAAAUGAACAAGAACAUAGCUAAAAAGUCGAAAGAACAAAGCAGACAUAAAAUUCGAUCUUCUGUUGCGACAUUUCUAUCGUAAAUGGUAUAAUAAAAGUUUUACGCAGCAUAGUCUUCGAUAUAAUCUUAUAUGUCGCUUGCAAAUGGAGAAACCAAAAAUCAACGUAAGUCUGUAAAUCAAUCCUGUCGGUGUAAAACACAAAAUUACGUUCGCAAGAGACAUUCGAUUUAUAUUCCUUGCAUUUCAAUUUUCAUUACAAGAACCGUGUACAUUUUCUAAUAUUUUUUCCGUGUCUGGUAUUAUCUUUUAUCCUUGAUUUUAAAGACUUUAGGUUCUUCCCAACAGUCAAAAACACGCGAUACCCUGUCCAUCGUAAUCGUAAGAAAAGAAAAAAAGGAGAAAGAAGAUAUUUCUGUAUUUCUUUACUAGGCCAUGUUGAUUAAAACCGAAAUGAUUUCGAUUCAUCUAUUCACAAGAACGCAACGGCCUCGGAAGCUGUGUUGUGAUUUCCUAUCGAUCGUUUCCCUCUACACAGUGUUCAUAUGAGCCAUGUUUGUUCUUAGCAAUGCCUUAUAAAAAGCUGCCUGUGCUGGAGGUAGACGGGAAACCGGUAGCGCAGGCUGACGCUGUGGCGCGAUACUUGGCGAGGAAGUACGAUCUAAUGGGAAGGAACGAAAGGGAUGCGUUGAUAUGCGACGUGCUCGUCGAUACUCUUGAAGAUUUGGAGCAAGGUGAGUAACUGAUGAGAUGACUUUGCAUUUGUCUCACCACAGAGACAGACGUUCAAGAAUUCAUUGUGAAAAGACGAGUACAAACAAGAUACGUAUGUCUUUCCGUUAAGCGAAUGUUACAGUUUGUUUGCAAAAGUCAGUUUUUAGAUUAUAGAAUCGUAGAUAGAAUUUAGAGGAUAGAAACUUUUAGUAGUCACUUUUAGUUUAGUAAAGUCUUAUCGACAAUAAGCAGACUACGUUAUGAUACAACGA